GACGAACGCUGGCGGCGUGCUUAACACAUGCAAGUCGAACGGAAAGGCCCUGCUUUUGUGGGGUGCUCGAGUGGCGAACGGGUGAGUAACACGUGAGUAACCUGCCCUUGACUUUGGGAUAACUUCAGGAAACUGGGGCUAAUACCGGAUAGGAGCUCCUGCUGCAUGGUGGGGGUUGGAAAGUUUCGGCGGUUGGGGAUGGACUCGCGGCUUAUCAGCUUGUUGGUGGGGUAGUGGCUUACCAAGGCUUUGACGGGUAGCCCGCCUGAGAGCGUGACCGGCCACAUUGGGACUGCGAUACGGCGCAGACUCCUACGGGAGGCAGCAGUGGGAAAUAUUACACAGCGGGCGGGAGUCUGAUGCGGAAACGCCGCGUGCGGGAUGACGGCCUUCGGGUUGUAAACCGCUUUCGCCUGUGACGAAGCGUGAGUGACGGUAAUGGGUAAAGAAGCACCGGCUAACUACGUG
RNAcentral lists this ribosomal RNA (468 nucleotides) under uncultured bacterium. RNAcentral's name for it is "partial 16S ribosomal RNA". It matches the Rfam family "Bacterial small subunit ribosomal RNA", at positions 28 to 507 of the family's 1533-position model. The record is from RNAcentral.